Long non-coding RNA from Brassica rapa (field mustard), 1151 nucleotides. RefSeq lists it as uncharacterized. NCBI's taxonomy places the organism in Eukaryota, Viridiplantae, Streptophyta, Magnoliopsida, Brassicales, Brassicaceae. The record is from RefSeq and is a predicted model, not a curated record.
UUCCGAAUGUAAGCUUCCAUUACGUCUGGUUUGUUCAGCCGCUCUCUCUAUGUGAUCUAGCAUAUAUCUCUGGAGUGCGUCACUAAAAACGUGUGGAGAAAGGGUCAAGGAUUUUCUGGCUUCAGCAAGUCCGGGCCGAGCACUGUCUCAAAGUGAUGGUUGUCAACAGCUGUUUUAUUAUGUUGGAAAAUCAUUGUCUAAUAAAUCUCAAGGUAUAAUAUUCUCCAAGUCAUACUCGAAACAUAUUUCCUUAUGUAUUUGCUCUUUUUAUUUCAUACUUUAACAUGCGGCAACGGGAGGGCCUGGUGGCGUUGCUGGGUUUAGAAUCGCAGAUCUCUGGCGGUUUUCUUAACAAGUAUUAGUCAUCGAUUUCUUCUGCUUUCUGUGAUAAUGAUUUUUGGUUCUGUAAUAAGAUAUUUUCCUUUCAUUUGGCUGCCUUAGACUCAAUGUAACUUAUGAUUCUAAUGAUUUAAAUUCCAAUCAGCUUCAUGUUAUUUAACGAUGACCAUGACAAAACAAACAGCCGCCAACUACACUCACCUUCACUGGCGGCCUAUAGAGCACUACAUCAACAAGAUUCCAACUUCUACAAAACUCUUCUCGCCUUCAGCUACAAACUAUUGCUCUGUUCCUUAUCUGUUAUAAAUUUUGCAUUACGAUUUAUCAAGGAAAAGAAAGCAUGCGACUGGUCGUGGAUCAAAAAAUAUUUUUAAUAGAGAUUUUUUUUUAUUAUUAUAAUAAUAUAUAUGUAAAUAAAUCAUAUUUAUUAUCAAUAAUUAUUUAUAAUGCGUUACAUAAAUUAAUAAAGUGAAUACUUUGAAAGCACAGAAUAAUUUUAUUUAUGUGAUUAAUAUAUAUCUGUAGUAUUUUGUCACAAAUAUGUAUUGUUUGUUAAAACGAACUAAAAUAAGCUAAAUAAAUUAUAAAUGAGUUUUCAAAAAACAUAAAUACAAUUGGAUAACUAAUUAAAGAGAAUUCCACUAUAACUAUAUUAGCAAAACUAAAAGGUAUAUUAAAAUAAUGAGCCAAGUUUUUCAAUUAGUAUAUCGAAAAAAAAACAGUAUGUAAGCUGAGCGAGCAAAUAUAAGAAAACAUCUUUUUCAAAAAAAAAAAAAAAUCAAUAGUAGGUUUUAAUUAGUUAAGAAAAAAAA